RNAcentral lists this ribosomal RNA (577 nucleotides) under Onygenales sp. HPP-2. Its description in RNAcentral is "eukaryotic LSU rRNA". The stretch from base 211 to 364 matches the Rfam family "5.8S ribosomal RNA". The record is from RNAcentral. Lineage: Eukaryota; Fungi; Ascomycota; Eurotiomycetes; Onygenales.
AAAAAAGGUUUUCAGGGUGUGACCUGCGGGGGACAUUAAAGUGUUAGCCUGUGCACCUAGUGUACAGGCGAAACUCCACCCUUGACUACUAUACCACAUGUUGCUUUGGCGGGCCUGCCCUCGGGCUGCCGGGGUUUCCCUGGCCCGCGCCCGCCGAAGAAUAAUGAACCCUUUUUGAAUUGGACGUCUGAGUUGAUUAUCAAUCAUUAAAACUUUCAACAAUGGAUCUCUUGGUUCCGGCAUCGAUGAAGAACGCAGCGAAAUGCGAUAAGUAAUGUGAAUUGCAGAAUUCCGUGAAUCAUCGAAUCUUUGAACGCACAUUGCGCCCCCUGGUAUUCCGGGGGGCAUGCCUGUCCGAGCGUCAUUGCAACCUUCAAGCGCGGCUUGUGUGUUGGGCCUCGUCCCCCGUGGACGUGCCCGAAAGGCAGUGGCGGCGUCCGUUUCGGUGCCCGAGCGUAUGGGAAUCCUUAUAAGCUCAACAGGCCCGGCGGCGCUGGUCGAAACCAUAUUUUACCGGUUGACCUCGGAUCAGGUAGGGAUACCCGCUGAACUUAAGCAUAUCAAUAAGCCCGGAGGA